ACGCGGGAUUCGCGAUAUUUUAUUUCUUCAGUGUGUUCAAGUUCUGGACUCUCUUCUACUCGGUCUGGUUCGGAUGAUCAUUAGCCAGACAGCAUCUGACUGCCAGGGUUGACAAAAGCCGCAGACGAAAGGCAGGGAGGACAAUGAAGAGGAGACAGAAGAAUAGCGUUAAGAGUCGGCGCUUUGUCGCGGUCUCGGGACUGUCAAUCACCGGCGAUAGGAAGCGACACAUUAAUCCGAGGAACAGCCUGUUGACCGCACGACAUCUUCUCCUCCUCUGCGGUCAAACAAACCCUUCAAACCUCUACAAGCCGCCCACUUUAUCCUCGCGUCGCGUCGUAAUCAUUCCCGUGGACCUUCUUUGUCGGCGUCGUGUGACACGAGAAAUGGAAACGCGAGCUAACCAAAUCAAUCAGAUUCAAUCCAUCGAUUCGGACAGCGAAUGAUUUCUUGAACGAACCCACACAUUUCUUGAAUACGACCGAACUGCGAUCGUUUGAUUCCAUACAAGGGGAAUAUUCGCGACGUUUGCAAAAGCUGACCAGACCUGACAAAUGUUGGGGACAGAGGAGCUGGACGUCUUCAUGCGUUAUUGGCUGUAGCGUUUCCGGCUGAAAUAACGUCAUUUGUUUCAUAGUGAUAUCUAGACUGCGGAUUGUAUGCAUUUACAGCAG
Molecule: long non-coding RNA, 674 nt
Organism: Megalopta genalis
Lineage: Eukaryota; Metazoa; Arthropoda; Insecta; Hymenoptera; Halictidae
Source: RefSeq, a predicted model, not a curated record